CGGGACGGGUGAGUAAUGCUUGGGAAUCUAGCUUAUGGAGGGGGAUAACUACGGGAAACUGUAGCUAAUACCGCGUAAUAUCGAAAGAUUAAAGUGUGGGACCUUCGGGCCACAUGCCAUAAGAUGAGCCCAAGUGGGAUUAGGUAGUUGGUGAGGUAAAGGCUCACCAAGCCGACGAUCUCUAGCUGGUCUGAGAGGAUGACCAGCCACACUGGGACUGAGACACGGCCCAG
This 233-nucleotide ribosomal RNA is filed under the name uncultured bacterium. RNAcentral's name for it is "partial 16S ribosomal RNA". It matches the Rfam family "Bacterial small subunit ribosomal RNA", at positions 100 to 334 of the family's 1533-position model. The record is from RNAcentral.